GGAUACAUAUCUAUGUUUUUUAUUAGCUAAUACAGGAUCCGCGCUACACUACGAAUAGAUCGAUAGUAUUUCAGCCAAUUAAAAUAUAUAAUUAUUAAUUUUAAGAUUAAAAAAUUAUAAUAAAAAUUUAUACAGUAUUUUUAUGUACAUUAUAGAAAUAAUCUUUUUUAUUAAUAUUUUUUUAACUUUCAGUAUUUGAAGAGUUAAAUUAUUCUAAUAACUUCUUUUAAAACUUCAAUCAAACCUAAUACUUUUAAUAUCUAUUCUAUAAAUAAACUUUUUAACUAAAAUGUUAAAGUU
This 300-nucleotide long non-coding RNA is filed under the name Ananas comosus (pineapple). Its description in RNAcentral is "long non-coding RNA (ACOM_LNC025223)". The record is from RNAcentral. Lineage: Eukaryota; Viridiplantae; Streptophyta; Magnoliopsida; Poales; Bromeliaceae.